UGCAAAUGAGAGCAGGCAGAGCUUGAGUAG
This 30-nucleotide non-coding RNA is filed under the name Mus musculus (house mouse). Lineage: Eukaryota; Metazoa; Chordata; Mammalia; Rodentia; Muridae. The record is from RNAcentral.